Falco peregrinus (peregrine falcon) is the source of this 310-nucleotide long non-coding RNA. RefSeq lists it as uncharacterized. Lineage: Eukaryota; Metazoa; Chordata; Aves; Falconiformes; Falconidae. The transcript has 3 exons. The record is from RefSeq and is a predicted model, not a curated record.
AGUGUGCCUUGGAUGAGAUGAGGAGAAGGCAGAAGAGGGACUGUAUGAAGAGUAUGCUGGUGUGAGAAGGUUAAAGAUCUUGUCACAGCUUGAUAGUCUGGAGAGUGCUGUGAUAAAGGCAGAGCCAUUUAUGACUAAACUACUUAAUGAAGAAAUUCCUAAUUAUGUCAACUUGAGUGAAAAUGAAGACACAUCCAUUGAGUAGAUUUGCUCAAUUGAUCUCAGAGUUGCUUCUGUAAGUGCUGUACCACAGAUUGCCUGUGGUCCAGUAAAUUUGCUGUUUGAAGAUUCCAUCACAAGGAAUGACCAC